GUGCUCACUUUGCAGCACAUAUACUAAAAACUGGACCAAUACAGAGAAGAUUGCAUGGCCCCUGAACAAGGAUGACACUCAAAUUCGUGAAGUGUUCCAUAUUUUU
RNAcentral lists this small nuclear RNA (106 nucleotides) under Catagonus wagneri (Chacoan peccary). Lineage: Eukaryota; Metazoa; Chordata; Mammalia; Artiodactyla; Tayassuidae. The record is from RNAcentral.